GACCCAGGAUCAGUUGCCCUAAACAUAACCCGUGAGGGUGGGAGCCCUAACCUUAAUUUUAAGAUGGGCUAUGCUUAAAUGUCAUGAACAAUCAUGUAAGCCUUUCACUGGCUGCCAGGCAGGUCCUCAGAAGAGGGUGGAAUUCCUUCCCUCCUCCUCCUUCUUUUAACUUGAUCUUAAUAAAGGUUUUAAUUGAGGAUAUAUUGUUUUAAACAGCUUUUAUUUUAUUUUUUAGAAUUUACAUCUGUCCUUUUUCUCAUGUGUUUUGAAAUGUAUUUUAUAGCCUGUGGAUAAUGGAACGUACAUGAUUAAGAAAGUGAUUGUGAAUGCACCAUGGGAGGAACACGAUCAUGUGACCCGGUGCGACCUAUCCUGAGGGGGGCCCACACAGGUGGGCGUCCCUCAGACAAUCAUUUAAGCUACUGUUUUGUCUCUCCUGGCCUCACUUGCGCUGUUCCCUCUGAAGAAGCGAGAGUAUCGCGAAACGUAAGGGAUGCCUCUCAGACCGGCAUGAGCAAGGAUUUUUACCUCCCCCAGAACAAGGUGAUUGAGAUCUUAAUAGCCUUUUUUAGCCUUAGUUUUUAGUGGGAGUGAAACGCACUUUGUUCUCCCAUUGAAGGCUAAAUUGGAUAAUUGAACCAGGGAGUGAGGAACUUACGCUUCCCACUUUUAUUUAAACCUUUUUAAACGCAAAUCAGCGGGAAUAAGCAAGUUAGCCCUCCCGACUGAGAGUUUUAAUAUAGAGUUGGGAAUAAGCAAGUCUAGCCCUCCCUACUCAUAUUUCUUAAAGGUUUUUUUAGUGGGAUGAAGCAGAAUUAGCCCUCCCGGUUUUUAAGAUUAACCUCUGGGGGAGAGGAGGAGAGAUUUUUAUUAUUUUUUUAGCCCUUUUAAUUUUCUGGAUUUUAAGAGGGGAACUCCAAUGUUUUUUUACCUGUAAUAUAUUCUGAAUGGCAUAAAGAGUUUGCAGUGUGUGUAUGAACCAUAGUCAACUACGACCUCCACAAAAACGAGACUGUGUGAAGGAGCAACAGUAAGAAGAGACUUGGUUCAGAGACACUUAAAAAGUACACCACCCUGCUCACAGACCCUGGAACAGCAAAUAAAGACUAUUCUAACAAGAUCCAGUGGAAAGCCUAACCGCAGAUGUAAAGGCAGGGACAUCCACUCCACAUGACAGGAUAUAUAGCUACAGCCGAAACAGGCAGUACAUUGGGGAGAUGAUGAGAAAUGUCCCAAAUUGGGCCAAUGCGGUCCACAUAGGAGUAAAUACUUCAUGUGACUGCACAGAUCCCCAUUCAUUUUAAUAUAUCAGUAAAAAGUGAGGCUUGAUUUGAGGCGGCGUAGUUUAAAGUAACACUGCUGCCAAUGAAACAAAUCAUAUCACAUAAUCAUGUGGAGUCAUAGAUUAGU
Molecule: non-coding RNA, 1410 nt
Organism: Maylandia zebra (zebra mbuna)
Lineage: Eukaryota; Metazoa; Chordata; Actinopteri; Cichliformes; Cichlidae
Source: RefSeq, a predicted model, not a curated record